This 548-nucleotide ribosomal RNA is filed under the name Aspergillus ruber. RNAcentral describes it as "SSU rRNA". It matches the Rfam family "Bacterial small subunit ribosomal RNA", at positions 364 to 940 of the family's 1533-position model. The record is from RNAcentral. Lineage: Eukaryota; Fungi; Ascomycota; Eurotiomycetes; Eurotiales; Aspergillaceae.
UUGGUCAAUCGCCGAAAGGCUGAACCAGUAACUUGGAAGAAUGAAAAAAUGUAUUAAAAUAAUACAUUAACGAUUUACUCGUAUAAAGUUCUAAAUAGGAUAAUGAUAAUGACAAUUUCCUAUUUAUAAGUCUUGACCAAAUUACGUGCCAGCAGUCGCGGUAAUACGUAAAAGACUAGUGUUAGUCAUCUUUAUUAGGUUUAAAGGGUACCUAGACGGUAAAUUAAACUCUAAAUGAGUACUUUUUUACUAGAGUUUUAUAAGAGAAGGAAGAAUUUCUGGAGUAGUGAUAGAAUAUUUUAAUACCAGAAGGACUGAUAACGGCGAAGGCGUCCUUCUAUGUAAAAACUGACGUUGAGGGACGAAGGCUUGGGUAGCAAUAAGGAUUAGAUACCCUAGUAGUCCAAGCAGAAAAUGAUGAAUGUCAUAGACUAGAAAAUAUAUUUAGUCUAUAAAUGAAAGUGUAAGCAUUCCACCUCAAGAGUAAUAUGGCUAUAUCUAUUUAAACUGAAAUCAUUAGACCGUUUCUGAAACCAGUAGUGAAGUAU